Molecule: RNA transcript, 3412 nt
Organism: Ananas comosus (pineapple)
Lineage: Eukaryota; Viridiplantae; Streptophyta; Magnoliopsida; Poales; Bromeliaceae
Gene name: nicotinate phosphoribosyltransferase 2-like
Exons: 16
Source: RefSeq, a predicted model, not a curated record
AGCUGUUUCAUUUUGAGCACCGCUUCUCCCCGCCAUGUCACUGCUACCGCUUAUCACUGCAUUCACCAUAGCAUAUAUUCUCCUCUCUCUUUCUCUGCAAAAACCCUAGAAAAGGAGAUCGAUCGAGAGCGAUCGAGGGAGAUCGAGAAAGGACGAUCGGAGCACUGAUGGAGCCGGAUUCGGAGUCGAUCGCCGUGCCGAACGGAUCGAUCGAGGAGGACCGGCGAUCGCCGCCCCCGCCGCCGAUGCCGACGAAUCCGAUGGUGACGCCCCUCCUCGCCGAUCUCUACCAGUUCACCAUGGCCUACGCCUAUUGGAAAGCGGGGAAGCAUCUCGACCGAGCUGUCUUUGAUCUGUACUUCCGGAAGAAUCCGUUUGGAGGUGAAUAUACCAUCUUUGGCGGGCUCGAAGAAUGCAUAAGAUUUGUCGCUAAUUUCAAAUUGAAGGAGGAGGAGAUCUCAUUCUUGCGGUCGGCCAUGCCGACGUGUGAGGAUGGAUUCUUUGACUAUCUGAGGUCAAUUGACUGCUCUGAUGUUGAGGUUUAUGCCAUUCCUGAGGGUUCUGUUGUGUUCCCUAAGAUUCCCUUGAUGAGGAUUGAAGGGCCAGUAGCUGUAGUCCAGCUGCUCGAAACUCCUUUCCUAUGUCUUGUCAAUUAUGCCUCUUUAGUUACUACAAACGCUGCAAGACACCGACUUGUUGCUGGAAAGUCAAAGACCUUGCUUGAAUUUGGACUUCGGCGGGCACAGGGGCCUGAUGGAGGAAUAAGCGCCUCAAGAUAUUGCUAUAUGGGCGGAUUUGAUGCCACAAGCAACGUUGAAGCAGGAAGAUUGUUCGGGAUACCACUUCGCGGGACUCAUUCACAUGCUUUUGUCAGCUCUUACAUGAGCCUUGAUGAGAUUAUUGACAAAGCACUUCUAUCUCAUGAUGGUUCAAGCACAUGUGAAGAUUUUGUAACUUUGGUGCAGAAUUGGCUGAACAAAAUUCAGCGGGCAAAAUCACUCCAUGGUGUCUUUGGGGAGACUAAUCAAAGUGAGCUGGCGGCAUUCACAUCAUAUGCUUUGGCUUUUCCAAAAAACUUUCUAGCACUUGUGGAUACAUAUGAUGUUAUCCGGAGUGGGGUGCCCAACUUCUGUGCAGUUGCUUUAUCUCUUAAUGAUUUGGGGUAUAAAGCAAUUGGAAUUAGGCUGGACUCUGGUGAUUUAGCUUACUUGUCAACUGAAGCCCGGAAGUUCUUUCAGUCGAUAGAAGAAGAAUUUGAUGUGUUUGAUUUUGGAAAAAUGAAUAUUACAGCAAGCAACGAUCUAAAUGAGGAAACUAUCGAUGCAUUGAACAAGCAGGGUCAUGAGGUAGAUGCCUUUGGCAUUGGAACGUACCUCGUCACUUGCUAUGCUCAAGCAGCUCUUGGUUGUGUAUUCAAACUUGUGGAAAUCAAUAAUCAGCCACGCAUCAAACUCUCUGAAGAUGUAACAAAGGUUUCUAUACCAUGUAAGAAACGAUGUUACAGGUUGUAUGGAAAAGAGGGCUACCCGUUGGUGGAUAUAAUGACUGGAGAAAAUGAGCCAGCUCCAAAGAUUGGAGAGAGGAUAUUGUGCCGCCAUCCAUUUACCGAGUCAAAAAGGGCAUACGUUGUGCCACAGCACAUCGAGGAACUAUUAAAAUGUUAUUGGCCUGGAAAUUCACAUAAAACAAGGGAAGAACUACCACCAAUAGGGAAAAUCAGAAAGCGCUGUAUGCAGCAUCUCGACCAAAUGCGUCCGGAUCACAUGAGGAGGUUAAACCCAACACCAUACAAGGUUAGCGUGAGCGCGAAGUUAUAUGACUUCAUCCACUUCCUGUGGCUUAGUGAGGCACCGGUUGGUGAACUGCAAUAAACAGGUGAAUGUGACAUGUGGAGAACUUACAUGUGAACAACGCAAUCUAAACGAGAAACUGUGUGUUACAUAGAGAUGUAACACAUUAUUGAAUCACUCGCUAGCUCUACUCGCUUUUGCGGCUCGCAACGAGACAUCAACCUUUAUAUAGCAUAUCUUUCGAAGAGGUUGGGCUUCUGAGUUAUGAGAAUCUGCUUUUCGUAACACAGCCCGAAUCUCUGAUCGACCUCUGCAGCUACAAGACUAUCAUGGAUGGAGAGUGGCCUCUGAUCAAAUUUAGAUCGAGACGGUGAGGUCCUUCAGUUGUACCCACCCAUAGGCGCACUGAUCUCGGAGUUUCUGUAUCACGGAAGUAGCUAAACUGACGGCUUCACGGAUCGCCGCAAAUUCCUUCUCAAAAGGAGCCCUAGCUUUCAGGUCCAACUGCAGUUACACCAUCAGACUGUCAGGUAACAAAUAGAAUAACUGAUUAAGGAAAAAAAAAAUAGAAUAUAUUGGCUGAGAUUAAAAAAUAAAUAAAUAAAUAACCUUCUCGAGGCACCGUGCUGCAUCCAACACAUAACAGAAAUAUGACAACUGCCGGUAUAAAUCCGCCUCGGUGUACUGUUAACGAGUUGCACAGGGAUUCAGUCACCAUGUGAAGCAAAAUCCGAGGAAAAUAUGAAUGGAUCGAGUUUCGACGCUGCAUUCACUAACCUGUUUUACAAGAUGGCCGUUACACCGUGGGUAAUUUGGACAGACCAUUCCUCUUUCAGAAUCGCCGAUUACUCGAAGGUUCAGACUGCGGGUGGUGUAUUUGCAUAGUUCAUCAUCACACUGGUGGACCCAAAAUAGAAAUACAUCACAAACUGUGGUAUUUUCUAGUACACAGCGAUUAAAAUAAGAUUAUAAAUUUCUUAUUUACCGUCAUUAACCCUUUGUAGUACAAAGAGAUGAAGUUAUCAGCCUGUCUUUUGAUCUGCAAAUAGAGCUUUGAUUGUUAGUUUUACAACUUGGCAAAUGCUAGAUCAUAAAUGGAUAAGACUUCGUAAAAUCCCCUAAAAAUACCAUGAUUUUCACAUUACCUUACUGAAAUUUAAAACCUAAGCAGAGUGACAGGAUGAAAAUCUUGUAGUUUAGGUGCAGUAAUGUUUAGGUAUAUUCAAUAUUUUAGAGGGGCGAAGUGAAAGUCACAACAUUACCAAUAAGGGGAUUUUCUGCAAUUUAGCCAUCAUAUAAGCUUAUAAGAGAGGUCUGAAAGUUGUGGCACCUGGUUAGCGAGCAUGACUGGAGAUACUCGAGAUCCGUCGAUAUCAUCUGGACAUCUAGGGCAACGCAUUCUCUGCCAAAAGUUGUGACUAGGCUCUUCAGUUUGUGAAUCCGAUUGGCUUUUAUUACUUGAAGCAGAAAGUAGGCUGGAUACAGGAGGGCAAUUGAAAGUGCUCGAGCAGCUCGGACACGACAAUCGAAGUGGCUCACAGCCUUUAUACCUGCAUGUAUUAUUUGUUCGUGGACGGUAACAAAAAUGUUUAAUAUGAAACUUUGGAAAAAAUUCUCUAUAA